Molecule: ribosomal RNA, 345 nt
Filed under: Indirana salelkari
Lineage: Eukaryota; Metazoa; Chordata; Amphibia; Anura; Ranixalidae
Description: partial 12S ribosomal RNA
Rfam family: Bacterial small subunit ribosomal RNA
Source: RNAcentral
ACGAGCAAACUUAAAACCCAAAGGACUUGACGGUGUCCCAUUCCCCCUAGAGGAGCCUGUUCUAUAAUCGAUAAACCCCGCUUUACCUCACCACUUCUUGCCCAUUCAGCCUGUAUACCUCCGUCGUAAGCUUGCCCUGUGAACGUCUAUUGAGCAAGCCCAAAGGCCUUACCACCAGUACGUCAGGUCAAGGUGCAGUCCAUGAAGUGGGAAGCAAUGGGCUACAAUUUCUAAGCUAGAAUAAACGAAAUACUGCAUGAAACACAGUCAUGAAGGCGGAUUUAGUAGUAAAAAAGAAUCAAUAAGCCUUUUUUAAUCCGGCCCUGGGACGUGUACACACCGCCC